This 1459-nucleotide ribosomal RNA is filed under the name Zobellia sp. AB237f. RNAcentral's name for it is "16S ribosomal RNA". It matches the Rfam family "Bacterial small subunit ribosomal RNA". Lineage: Bacteria; Pseudomonadati; Bacteroidota; Flavobacteriia; Flavobacteriales; Flavobacteriaceae. The record is from RNAcentral.
GAUGAACGCUAGCGGCAGGCCUAACACAUGCAAGUCGAGGGGUAACAUGGUAGCUUGCUACCGAUGACGACCGGCGCACGGGUGCGCAACGCGUAUACAAUCUGCCCCCUACUGUGGGAUAGCCCAGAGAAAUUUGGAUUAAUACCACAUGGUACCAUAUUACGGCAUCGUAUUUAUGGUUAAAGGUUACGGUAGGGGAUGAGUAUGCGUCCCAUUAGUUAGUUGGUGAGGUAACGGCUCACCAAGACCGCGAUGGGUAGGGGCCCUGAGAGGGGGAUCCCCCACACUGGUACUGAGMCACGGACCAGACUCCUACGGGAGGCAGCAGUGAGGAAUAUUGGACAAUGGGCGGGAGCCUGAUCCAGCCMUGCCGCGUGCAGGAAGAAUGCCCUAUGGGUAGUAAASUGCUUUUAUACGGGAAGAAAAAGGGCUACGUGUAGCCCACUGACGGUACCGUAAGAAUAAGGACCGGCUAACUCCGUGCCAGCAGCCGCGGUAAUACGGAGGGUCCGAGCGUUAUCCGGAAUUAUUGGGUUUAAAGGGUCCGUAGGCGGGCCGAUAAGUCAGGGGUGAAAGUUUGCAGCUCAACUGUAAAAUUGCCUUUGAUACUGUCGGUCUUGAGUUAUAGUGAAGUUGCCGGAAUAUGUAGUGUAGCGGUGAAAUGCAUAGAUAUUACAUAGAACACCGAUUGCGAAGGCAGGUGACUAACUAUAUACUGACGCUGAUGGACGAAAGCGUGGGGAGCGAACAGGAUUAGAUACCCUGGUAGUCCACGCCGUAAACGAUGGAUACUAGCUGUCCGGGUCCUUGAGACCUGGGKCGGCCAAGCCGAAAGUGAUAAGUAUCCCACCUGGGGAGUACGUUCGCAAGAAUGAAACUCAAAGGAAUUGACGGGGGCCCGCACAAGCGGUGGAGCAUGUGGUUUAAUUCGAUGAUACGCGAGGAACCUUACCAGGGCUUAAAUGCAUUUUGACAGGGGUAGAGAUACCUUUUCCUUCGGGCAAUUUGCAAGGUGCUGCAUGGUUGUCGUCAGCUCGUGCCGUGAGGUGUCAGGUUAAGUCCUAUAACGAGCGCAACCCCUACCGUUAGUUGCCAGCGAGUCAUGUCGGGGACUCUAACGGGACUGCCGGUGCAAACCGUGAGGAAGGUGGGGACGACGUCAAAUCAUCACGGCCCUUACGUCCUGGGCCACACACGUGCUACAAUGGCCGGUACAGCGGGAAGCCAUGCGGCAACGCAGAGCGGAUCCACAAAACCGGUCACAGUUCGGAUCGGGGUCUGCAACUCGACCCCGUGAAGCUGGAAUCGCUAGUAAUCGGAUAUCAGCCAUGAUCCGGUGAAUACGUUCCCGGGCCUUGUACACACCGCCCGUCAAGCCAUGGAAGCCGGGAGUGCCUGAAGUCCGUCACCGCAAGGAGCGGCCUAGGGCAAGAUCGGUAACUAGGGCUAAGUCGUAACA